UUACCAUUAAAUUCUGAGUCGAAAUAAUAUAUUUUAAACAAAAUUUAAAAUAUUAAUGGAGUUUUUUAAUUACUGAAAAAAAAAAAGGUUUUUUGGUCCCGAUCUGUCAACGUAGAAGUGCAACGUCUGAAGUGCGCCACCGCCCAUCCAUGUGAACGAAGCAUCGAUUACCACGAAUUAUCUUCUGAUAGUUUUCCUUUUUUAAAAAAUCUUAUAUUGCUUUAUUAUAUAUAUAUUUUUGAAUUUCUUGGCCCUGACACUCUCCAACCAACAAAGAAACUGCAUUUUUCAAGUUAUUUUUACCAAUUUUUACAUACUCGUACAUUUCGUUUAUCAUAGAAAACAUCUUGCCAUUCAUACGAAUGCCUUUGUCUGAUCUGAUCGUGUCAACAUGCUAAUCCGUUCUUUUCGCUGGCCGAAGCCCCGUGUCAAAUUUUGCAUCUUUCCAUUGAUACGUAUCUAAUAGAAGCAUUCUGGCAUGUGUCAGGCAACAAGUUACAUGAAUGGCAUGGUUCCCUUUGGGUGCCAAGCCUGGCCUACACCCUCCGUAAUUGAAACUGUUUGCUGGUGUGAUAGGUUUGGUAUUAUGAAAGAUUUUGUUCAUUUGUUUGUUUUUGUGCUUAGGUCUUGGAUCAAGUAAUUACAUGGACGUGGAGUGGCUAUAUGGGACUUAAUUUCUCUUCUGUUGGUUGAGUUGGAGAAACAGGGAUUGGUAAGAAUGGGAAGAAAGCAUAAUUAACACCUCAACUUUUGUUAUUUUGUCUAUUAGGCAGGACCAACAAUUUUAUUUCCACUCUCAUCUUUAGAAUUCUUGUAUGGUAGCUGUUGCUGCAGGACACUCUCCUUGGUUUGUUAGUUAGGAGACAGCAUACCAAGAUCAAGUCCAAGAGAUCUAAUUUACAGGCCGGCAACACAAUAUAGAUUGUUCAACUUUGUUUUCUUGCCUUGGUGGUGUAAUUGAAUUAUAUUUAAAUUCAAAAUUUUUUGAAGCUAUUUACCUACUAGUGAGAAAGGCAUGUGUGAAAAGUUGCUGAAAUGUGUGAACAGAGCAAUAUGCAUGUUCCCCUUUGGGUGCCAAGCCUGGCCUACACCCUUUGUAAUUGAAACUGUUUGCUGGUGUGAUAGGUUUGGCAUUAUGAAGGAUUUUGUUCAUUUAUUUGGUUUUGUGUGUGUUUUUUUUUUUUUGCUUAGGUGUUGGAUCAAGUAAUAACAUGGAGGUGGAGUGGCAAUAUGGGACUUAAUUUCUCUUCUGUUGGUCUAGGUGGAGAAACAGGGAUUGGCAGGACCAACAAUUUUAUUUCCACUCUCAUCUUUAGAAUUCUUGUAUGGUAGCUGUUGCUGCAGGACACUCUCCUUGGUUUGUUACUUAGGAGACAGCAUACCAAGAGCAAGUCCAAGAGAUCUAAUUUACAGGCCGGCAACACAAUAUAGAUUGUUUAACUUUGUUUUCUUGCCUUGGUGGUGUAAUUGAAUUAUAUUGGAAUUUAAAAGUUUUUGAAGCUA
This is a long non-coding RNA of Daphnia magna, 1503 nucleotides long. RefSeq lists it as uncharacterized. The record is from RefSeq and is a predicted model, not a curated record. The transcript is spliced from 2 exons. NCBI's taxonomy places the organism in Eukaryota, Metazoa, Arthropoda, Branchiopoda, Diplostraca, Daphniidae.